GGAAUACAUCGGAAUCUACCUUUUCGUGGGGGAUAACGUAGGGAAACUUACGCUAAUACCGCAUACGACCUACGGGUGAAAGUGGGGGACCGCAAGGCCUCACGCGAUUAGAUGAGCCGAUGUCCGAUUAGCUAGUUGGCGGGGUAAUGGCCCACCAAGGCGACGAUCGGUAGCUGGUCUGAGAGGAUGAUCAGCCACACUGGAACUGAGACACGGUCCAGACUCCUACGGGAGGCAGCAGUGGGGAAUAUUGGACAAUGGGCGCAAGCCUGAUCCAGCCAUACCGCGUGGGUGAAGAAGGCCUUCGGGUUGUAAAGCCCUUUUGUUGGGAAAGAAAUCCUGUCGAUUAAUACUCGGUGGGGAUGACGGUACCCAAAGAAUAAGCACCGGCUAACUUCGUGCCAGCAGCCGCGGUAAUACGAAGGGUGCAAGCGUUACUCGGAAUUACUGGGCGUAAAGCGUGCGUAGGUGGUGGUUUAAGUCUGCUGUGAAAGCCCUGGGCUCAACCUGGGAAUUGCAGUGGAUACUGGAUCACUAGAGUGUGGUAGAGGGAUGCGGAAUUUCUGGUGUAGCAGUGAAAUGCGUAGAGAUCAGAAGGAACAUCCGUGGCGAAGGCGGCAUCCUGGGCCAACACUGACACUGAGGCACGAAAGCGUGGGGAGCAAACAGGAUUAGAUACCUGGUAGUCCACGCCCUAAACGAUGCGAACUGGAUGUUGGGUGC
RNAcentral lists this ribosomal RNA (723 nucleotides) under bacterium MS-AsIII-55. RNAcentral describes it as "bacterial SSU rRNA". It matches the Rfam family "Bacterial small subunit ribosomal RNA", at positions 110 to 830 of the family's 1533-position model. The record is from RNAcentral.